UUUUUAAAAAAAUGGCUGCCAGCAAGUUAUGGGUUUAUCUCAUACAUGUGAGAGUACUCCAAUAAAUCAGUUUGCCUGCAGUAGUCAUAGAGUAUGAGGUUUUUAUAAUCAUGAAAUAAGCCCCAUAGCCCACUGCUGUUUUCAGAAGAUUGAACAUCACUGAGUAUUAUGCUCUUUGUAUGGGUGUGUGGGCGUCUCAUUUUUCAGGGGCUAGUGUUACAUUUAGCUAUGCUGUCAGCAUGUAUCUUGUACAACAGUAAUGCUUUCUACAAGUGAAGAAACAUCAGGGAGUUUUUUCAACUCGUGCCUUCUUCACUAUGAAAGAAUGAAGUUCACUUCAGGUCUUGUGAGCUGUGAAUACAUAGGAACAUGUUAACAAAAGACAAGGUCAGCAAGACCUUCAGGAAGUACCACAGCAACUGAGGACAUGAGGAGUUCUUCUAGGAAAGUUUGCUGAAGGACACAGCAAAAAACAAUUCAUGGAGCAGCUGCAGAUGGUGGCGCACCACUUGUGGGCUUGAAAAAUGAGCACUGACUGGUGGGACUGCAUGGUAAUGCAAGCUUGGGAUGAUGAGCAGUGGCUGUAGAACUUUUGGAUGUGAAAGUCCACAUUCCUGGAUCUGUGUGCUGAGCUUGCCCAAGCCCUCCAGAGCAGGGAUACCAGAAUAAAAGCUGCCUUGACAAUGAAGAAGUGAGUGGCAAUUGCAUUCUGGAAGUUUGCAAUGGCAGAUUGCUACCAGUCAGUGGGAAAUCAUUUUGGAGUUGGAAGAUCCACAGUAAGGGGCUAUUGUCAUGCAAGUGUGUAGGGCCAUUAAUUAUCUCCUGCUAUGCGGGACUGAGACACUUGCAGGAAACAAUGCAUGGAUUUGCAGCAACUGGGCUUCCUAACUGUGGUGGAGUGAUAGAAGACAUGCAUAUCCCUAUUUUGGCAUCAGCCUACCUUGCCACACAGUACAUCAACAGAUGCAUGUUUCUGUGGUUAUGCAAACAUUGGAGGAUCACAUGGGAUGCUUCACUGAUAUCAAUACGGGCUGGUCAGGGAAAGGGCAUGCCACUAGCAUCUCUAAGAACACAGGACUGUUCAGAAAAUUGCAAGAGGGGAUAUUCUUUCCCAACUGGCAGAUUAUCAUUGGUGAUGUUGAAAUGGCAAUAGAGACUUUGGGAGACCCAACCUACCCAUUGCUCUCCUGGCUCAUAAAGUUGUACCCUGGCCACUUUGACAGCUGAUAUGAUUUUGGUAGAUUGAAGGAAACUGGUAGUAUUUACUCACAAGAUUGGAUCUCAGUGAGAAAAAUAUCCCAGGGUUUAUAGCACCUGUUGUGUCCUGCAUAAUAUCUGUGAGGCAAAGGGGGAGAAGCUGCUACCAGAUUGGAGGGUGAGCAGCUGUCUGCUGAACUUGAACAGUCAUGGCAAGAGCCCAGUGUGGAGCUAUGCAGUUGAGGGAGGUGCUGAAAGGCCACUUUAACCACCAGCCACAGUUGAGUUUGCUGCUGGAGUGUUAUCUGGUCCUGGAGCUUCGUGGGUUGCUAAGAAUUGUAUAGUGCUCACUGUACAUUUAUAAAUGUGACUAGGUGUUUUCCUGAAGUUAUGAAUUCUGUGGUGUUUGCUGUGCAUUUAGAGUACUGUUUGCUUUGACUUCUGCUAUGCAUUCUGCAAUAUUUGCUGUGAACUAAUAAAGAUAAUUUGAUUCUCCAAAAA
Molecule: long non-coding RNA, 1698 nt
Organism: Chrysemys picta bellii (western painted turtle)
Lineage: Eukaryota; Metazoa; Chordata; Testudines; Emydidae
Source: RefSeq, a predicted model, not a curated record